UGCAGUCGAACGAUGAACCACUUCGGUGGGGAUUAGUGGCGAACGGGUGAGUAACACGUGGGCAAUCUGCCCUGCACUCUGGGACAAGCCCUGGAAACGGGGUCUAAUACCGGAUACGACCACUUCAGGCAUCUGAUGGUGGUGGAAAGCUCCGGCGGUGCAGGAUGAGCCCGCGGCCUAUCAGCUUGUUGGUGAGGUAACGGCUCACCAAGGCGACGACGGGUAGCCGGCCUGAGAGGGCGACCGGCCACACUGGGACUGAGACACGGCCCAGACUCCUACGGGAGGCAGCAGUGGGGAAUAUUGCACAAUGGGCGAAAGCCUGAUGCAGCGACGCCGCGUGAGGGAUGACGGCCUUCGGGUUGUAAACCUCUUUCAGCAGGGAAGAAGCGAAAGUGACGGUACCUGCAGAAGAAGCGCCGGCUAACUACGUGCCAGCAGCCGCGGUAAUACGUAGGGCGCAAGCGUUGUCCGGAAUUAUUGGGCGUAAAGAGCUCGUAGGCGGCUUGUCACGUCGGUUGUGAAAGCCCGGGGCUUAACCCCGGGUCUGCAGUCGAUACGGGCAGGCUAGAGUUCGGUAGGGGAGAUCGGAAUUCCUGGUGUAGCGGUGAAAUGCGCAGAUAUCAGGAGGAACACCGGUGGCGAAGGCGGAUCUCUGGGCCGAUACUGACGCUGAGGAGCGAAAGCGUGGGGAGCGAACAGGAUUAGA
Molecule: ribosomal RNA, 709 nt
Filed under: Streptomyces fradiae
Lineage: Bacteria; Bacillati; Actinomycetota; Actinomycetes; Kitasatosporales; Streptomycetaceae
Description: bacterial SSU rRNA
Rfam family: Bacterial small subunit ribosomal RNA
Source: RNAcentral